Molecule: ribosomal RNA, 466 nt
Filed under: uncultured bacterium
Lineage: Bacteria
Description: bacterial SSU rRNA
Rfam family: Bacterial small subunit ribosomal RNA
Source: RNAcentral
ACGAACGCUGGCGGCGUGGUUAAGACAUGCAAGUCGAACGGAUCAGUAAUUUAUUAUUGGUCAGUGGCGAAAGGGUGAGUAAUGGAUAGGUAACGUACCCCGGGUUCUGGGAUAGCCAGCCGAAAGGUUGGGUAAUACCGGAUAACAUCACCGGCCGACGGGUCGGUGAUCAAAGAUUUAUCGACACGGGAGCGGCCUAUCUCCUAUCAGCUUGUUGGUGAGGUAACGGCCCACCAAGGCGAUGACGGGUAGCGGGACUGAGAGGUUGGCCCGCCACAUCGGGACUGAGACACUGCCCGGACCCCCACGGGGGGCUGCAGUAACGAAUCUUGGGCAAUGGGCGAAAGCCUGACCCAGCGACGCCGCGUGCGGGAGGAAGUCCUUCGGGAUGUAAACCGCUGUCAGACAAAGGAAAGUCCACUUCGGUGGAUUGAUCCGAGUCAGAGGAAGUCACGGCUAACUCUGU